RNAcentral lists this ribosomal RNA (704 nucleotides) under uncultured bacterium. Its description in RNAcentral is "bacterial SSU rRNA". It matches the Rfam family "Bacterial small subunit ribosomal RNA", at positions 60 to 773 of the family's 1533-position model. The record is from RNAcentral.
AGUCGACGGUGAUAGUAAUAUCAUAGUGGCGCACGGGUGCGUAACACGUAUGCAACCUACCUUAUACUUAGGGAUAGCCUUUGGAAACGGAGAUUAAUACCUAAUAGUACAUUGAUUUGGCAUCGGAUUAAUGUUAAAGAUUUAUUGGUAUAAGAUGGGCAUGCGUCCAAUUAGUUAGUUGGUUAGGUAACGGCUGACCAAGACGAUGAUUGGUAGGGGAACUGAGAGGUUAAUCCCCCACACUGGCACUGAGAUACGGGCCAGACUCCUACGGGAGGCAGCAGUAGGGAAUAUUGGGCAAUGGAGGGAACUCUGACCCAGCCAUGCCGCGUGCAGGAUGAAGGCGUUAUGCGUUGUAAACUGCUUUUAUAUAGGAAGAAAUAGUCCUUGCGAGGAAAGUUGACGGUACUAUAUGAAUAAGCACCGGCUAACUCCGUGCCAGCAGCCGCGGUAAUACGGAGGGUGCAAGCGUUGUCCGGAUUUAUUGGGUUUAAAGGGUGCGUAGGCGGUUUAUUAAGUCAGUGGUGAAAGACGGUCGCUCAACGAUUGCAGUGCCAUUGAUACUGGUAGACUUGAGUAUGAUUGAGGUAGCUGGAAUGGAUAGUGUAGCGGUGAAAUGCAUAGAUAUUAUCCAGAACACCAAUUGCGUAGGCAAGUUACUAAGUCAUAACUGACGCUGAGGCACGAAAGUGUGGGUAUCAAAC